UACGGAGGGGGCUAGCGUUGUUCGGAAUUACUGGGCGUAAAGCGCACGUAGGCGGCUUUGCAAGUUAGAGGUGAAAGCCCGGGGCUCAACUUCGGAAUUGCCUUUAAAACUGCAUCGCUAGAAUUGUGGAGAGGUAAGUGGAAUUCCGAGUGUAGAGGUGAAAUUCGUAGAUAUUCGGAAGAACACCAGUGGCGAAGGCGACUUACUGGACACAUAUUGACGCUGAGGUGCGAAAGCGUGGGGAGCAAACAGG
RNAcentral lists this ribosomal RNA (253 nucleotides) under uncultured bacterium. Its description in RNAcentral is "partial 16S ribosomal RNA". It matches the Rfam family "Bacterial small subunit ribosomal RNA", at positions 524 to 776 of the family's 1533-position model. The record is from RNAcentral.